AUUGAACGCUGGCGGCAGGCCUAACACAUGCAAGUCGAACGGUAACAGGAAGAAGCUUGCUUCUUUGCUGACGAGUGGCGGACGGGUGAGUCAUGUCUGGGAAACUGCCUGAUGGAGGGGGAUAACUACUGGAAACGGUAGCUAAUACCGCAUAACGUCGCAAGACCAAAGAGGGGGACCUUCGGGCCUCUUGCCAUCGGAUGUGCCCAGAUGGGAUUAGCUAGUAGGUGGGGUAACGGCUCACCGAGGCGACGAUCCCUAGCUGGUCUGAGAGGAUGACCAGACACACUGGAACUGAGACACGGUCCAGACUCCUACGGGAGGCAGCAGUGGGGAAUAUUGCACAAUGGGGGCAAGCCUGAUGCAGCCAUGCCGCGUGUAUGAAGAAGGCCCUCGGGUUGUAAAGUACUUUAAGCGGGGAGGAAGGGAGUAAAGUUAAUACCUUUGCUCAUUGACGUUACCCGCAGAAGAAGCACCGGCUAACUCCGUG
Molecule: ribosomal RNA, 490 nt
Filed under: uncultured bacterium
Lineage: Bacteria
Description: partial 16S ribosomal RNA
Rfam family: Bacterial small subunit ribosomal RNA
Source: RNAcentral